UAUACUUAAUAAAUAUAACAAUAAAGUUUAAAGGACGCGGUAUUUUGACCGUGAUAAUGUAGCAUAAUCACUCGCCAUUUAAUUGAUGGAUAGUAUGAAAGGUGAAACGAGUAUAACACUGUCUUAAACAAAAACUUUAUGAAAUUGGAUUAAUAGUGAAGAUACUAUUUAAAACUGUAAGACGAGAAGACCCUAUAGAGCUUAACUAUAACUCUUCAAAUUACCUAAAUUUAUUUAGUUAAAGAGAGAGAUAGGUAGUUUAGUUGGGGCGACUACUUUCUAUAUUUAACGAAAGUAAACAUAAAUUAAUCGCAAAAAAUUUACUGUAUAUUUAAUAAAAUUAACAGUUAUAAAAAUAGGUGAUAAUGACCCGUUAAAAAUCUAUAAGAAUAUUAACGAUCAAUAAAUAAAAGCUACCUUAGGGAUAACAGGACAAUUUUAUCCUAGAGAUCUUAUCGAAGACAAAGUUUGUCACCUCUAUGUUGAAUUAGGAUAUCCUAAGAAUGCAGAAGUUCUUAAGGGUAGGUCUGUUCGACCUAUAAAAUCCUACAUGAUUUGAGU
RNAcentral lists this ribosomal RNA (561 nucleotides) under Zanclea timida. RNAcentral describes it as "partial 16S ribosomal RNA". It matches the Rfam family "Bacterial large subunit ribosomal RNA", at positions 1888 to 2610 of the family's 2925-position model. Lineage: Eukaryota; Metazoa; Cnidaria; Hydrozoa; Anthoathecata; Zancleidae. The record is from RNAcentral.